UAAUUACAAGUGUUCCUCCCUCUG
This 24-nucleotide non-coding RNA is filed under the name Rattus norvegicus (Norway rat). Lineage: Eukaryota; Metazoa; Chordata; Mammalia; Rodentia; Muridae. The record is from RNAcentral.